AAGCGUCAUCCAUCACAACGGAUCGUCCGGCACGUACCUGCCGGUGAAGGAGAACACCA
This is a non-coding RNA of Mycetocola reblochoni REB411, 59 nucleotides long. Lineage: Bacteria; Bacillati; Actinomycetota; Actinomycetes; Micrococcales; Microbacteriaceae. The record is from Rfam.